Molecule: ribosomal RNA, 406 nt
Filed under: uncultured bacterium
Lineage: Bacteria
Description: partial 16S ribosomal RNA
Rfam family: Bacterial small subunit ribosomal RNA
Source: RNAcentral
AUUGAACGCUGGCGGCAGGCCUAACACAUGCAAGUCGAACGAGUGGCGGACGGGUGAGUAAUGUCUGGGAAACUGCCCGAUGGAGGGGGAUAACUACUGGAAACGGUAGCUAAUACCGCAUACCAUCGGAUGUGCCCAGAUGGGAUUAGCUAGUAGGUGGGGUAACGGGUCACCUAGGCGACGAUCCCUAGCUGGUCUGUGAGGAUGACCAGCCACACUGGAACUGGGACACGGUCCAGACUCCUAAGGGAGGCAGGAUUGGGGAAUAUUGCACAAUGGGCGGAAGCCUGAUGCAGCCAUGCCGCGUGUGUUAAGAAGGCCUUCGGGUUGUAAAGUACUUUCAGCGAGGAGGCGUUACUCGCAGAAGAAGCACCGGCUAACUCCGUGCCAGCCGCCGCGGUAAUUC